This 535-nucleotide ribosomal RNA is filed under the name uncultured bacterium. RNAcentral's name for it is "bacterial SSU rRNA". It matches the Rfam family "Bacterial small subunit ribosomal RNA", at positions 340 to 876 of the family's 1533-position model. The record is from RNAcentral.
UACGGGAGGCAGCAGUGAGGAAUAUUGGUCAAUGGACGCAAGUCUGAACCAGCCAAGUAGCGUGCAGGAUGACGGCCCUAUGGGUUGUAAACUGCUUUUAUAUGGGGAUAAAGUGGGGAACGUGUUCCCUUUUGCAGGUACCAUAUGAAUAAGGACCGGCUAAUUCCGUGCCAGCAGCCGCGGUAAUACGGAAGGUUCGGGCGUUAUCCGGAUUUAUUGGGUUUAAAGGGAGCGUAGGCGGUUUGGUAAGUGUGUUGUGAAAUGUAGUAGCUCAACUUCUAGAUUGCAGCGCGAACUGUCAGACUUGAGUGCGCACAAGGUAGGCGGAAUUCAUGGUGUAGCGGUGAAAUGCUUAGAUAUCAUGAAGAACUCCGAUUGGGAAGGCAGCUUACGGGAGCGCAACUGACGUUGAAGCUGGAAGGUGCGGGUAUCGAACAGGAUUAGAUACCCUGGUAGUCCGCACAGUAAACGAUGGAUGCCCGCUGUUAGCACCUAGUGUUAGCGGCUAAGCGAAAGCAUUAAGCAUCCCACCUGG